This 345-nucleotide unclassified non-coding RNA is filed under the name soil metagenome. Its description in RNAcentral is "partial contains 5.8S ribosomal RNA, internal transcribed spacer 2, and large subunit ribosomal RNA". The stretch from base 1 to 120 matches the Rfam family "5.8S ribosomal RNA", at positions 35 to 154 of the family's 154-position model. The record is from RNAcentral.
GAUGAAGAACGUAGUGAAAUGCGAUACGUAAUGUGAAUUGCAGAAUUCAGUGAAUCAUCGAGUCUUUGAACGCACAUUGCGCCCCCUGGUAUUCCGGGGGGCAUGCCUGUCCGAGCGUCAUUGCUGCCCUCAAGCACGGCUUGUGUGUUGGGCCUCCGUCCUCCUCCCGGGGGACGGGCCCGAAAGGCAGCGGCGGCACCGCGUCCGGUCCUCGAGCGUAUGGGGCUUCGUCACCCGCUCUUGUAGGCCCGGCCGGCGCUUGCCGACACAUCAAUCUUUUUUUCAGGUUGACCUCGGAUCAGGUAGGGAUACCCGCUGAACUUAAGCAUAUCAAUAAGCGGAGGA